Molecule: ribosomal RNA, 749 nt
Filed under: uncultured cyanobacterium
Lineage: Bacteria; Bacillati; Cyanobacteriota
Description: bacterial SSU rRNA
Rfam family: Bacterial small subunit ribosomal RNA
Source: RNAcentral
AGAGUUUGAUCAUGGCUCAGGAUGAACGCUGGCGGUCUGCUUAACACAUGCAAGUCGAACGCAACCUUUCGGGGUUGAGUGGCGGACGGGUGAGUAACGCGUGAGAAUCUGCCUUUAGGUCCGGGACAACCACUGGAAACGGUGGCUAAUACCGGAUGUGCCGCAACGUGAAAGGGGAAACCCGCCUGAAGAUGAGCUCGCGUCUGAUUAGCUAGUUGGUGAGGUAAAGGCUCACCAAGGCGACGAUCAGUAGCUGGUCUGAGAGGAUGACCAGCCACACUGGGACUGAGACACGGCCCAGACUCCUACGGGAGGCAGCAGUGGGGAAUUUUCCGCAAUGGGCGAAAGCCUGACGGAGCAAGACCGCGUGAGGGAGGAAGGCUCUUGGGUUGUAAACCUCUUUUGUCAGGGAAGAACACAAUGACGGUACCUGACGAAUCAGCAUCGGCUAACUCCGUGCCAGCAGCCGCGGUAAUACGGAGGAUGCAAGCGUUAUCCGGAAUUAUUGGGCGUAAAGCGUCCGCAGGUGGCUAAUCAAGUCUGCGGUCAAAGACCGGGGCUUAACCCUGGAAAGGCCGUGGAAACUGAUAAAGCUAGAGUACCGUAGGGGUAGAGGGAAUUCCCGGUGUAGCGGUGAAAUGCGUAGAGAUCGGGAAGAACAUCGGUGGCGAAAGCGCUCUACUGGACGGUGACUGACACUCAGGGACGAAAGCUAGGGGAGCGAAUGGGAUUAGAUACCCCCGUAGUCC